CUGCUGCCUUCCGUAGGAGUUUGGACCGUGUCUCAGUUCCAAUGUGGGGGACCUUCCUCUCAGAACCCCUACGCAUCGUCGGCUUGGUGGGCCGUUGCCCCACCAACUACCUAAUGCGCCGCAUGCCCAUCCGUGACCGGGGUCGCCCCCUUUGACCGGCAGGGGAUGUCCCCUCCCGGCAUUAUGUUGUAUUAGGCGGGAUUUCUCCCGGUUAUCCAUCUGUCACGGCCAGGUUGCAUACGUGUUACUCACCCGUGCGCCGGUCGCCGGCGGGAG
Molecule: ribosomal RNA, 276 nt
Filed under: uncultured bacterium
Lineage: Bacteria
Description: partial 16S ribosomal RNA
Source: RNAcentral